UAUUGCCUACGGGAGGCAGCAGUGGGGAAUAUUGCACAAUGGGGGGAACCCUGAUGCAGCAAUGCCGCGUGGGUGAAGAAGCACUCCGGUGCGUAAAGCCCUGUCAGCAGGGAAGAAAAUGACAGUACCUGGACAAGAAGCCCCGGCUAACUACGUGCCAGCAGCCGCGGUAAUACGUAGGGGGCAAGCGUUAUCCGGAUUUACUGGGUGUAAAGGGAGCGCAGACGGCAGUGCAAGUCUGGAGUGAAAGCCCGGGGCCCAACCCCGGAACUGCUCUGGAAACUGUGCGGCUAGAGUACUGGAGG
This 305-nucleotide ribosomal RNA is filed under the name uncultured bacterium. RNAcentral's name for it is "bacterial SSU rRNA". It matches the Rfam family "Bacterial small subunit ribosomal RNA", at positions 333 to 655 of the family's 1533-position model. The record is from RNAcentral.